Long non-coding RNA from Cyprinus carpio (common carp), 2030 nucleotides. Lineage: Eukaryota; Metazoa; Chordata; Actinopteri; Cypriniformes; Cyprinidae. The record is from Ensembl.
AUGGAGAUCUACUCAUCAACUGCAUGUGUAGUGACAAUCUUGUUCAUUUUUGCUACAUCCUCUGCACAAGGAAUUUGGCAUCAUGACAGAAGGAGCCACAAUGCAGGUUUCAGUGGACAGAUGGAAGGCAGCCAUCAUCUGCACUGUUGUGGAAAUGUGUCGUACAAGAUCUCAGAAAGUUCCUGCUGUAAUGGUAAUGUAACUAACGGAUUAAGCCAGCUGGUGGCUGACUGCUGUGAUUCUGUAGCUUACAAUCCCCUUAAUGAGAUUUGCUGUGAUGGCAGGAUUCUGACUAGAAGCAGCACUCACGCAAAAUGCUGUGGCAAAGUCAUGUACCUGACAACGACUCAUUUGUGUUGUGGUGGCAACAACAUAUUUCAAUGGAAGGAAAAUCAUUUUUGUUGUGGCAAGGAAACGUAUGACAUGACAACCCACUGCUGCUGUACUAACCUUACACUAGAAGUAAAGCCAAAAAAUGAAACUUGCUGUCCAAAAGUAACAGGCACUGAUAAAAGAACAGGAUGCCAGCAAGGCUCUCUUCCCACCCGACUGAAAAUCUCAAGCACACUCUCCAAAAACUUAGAAUCAAAGUGUGGAUCAAAACCCUACAAUCCCAAGAACAAAAUUUGUUGCUCAGGGAAUCUGUAUAAGAAGGCUUCAGCACUUACUAAGUGCUGUGGCAAAGAUGUUUACACUCUGUCAGAUGACAAUGUGCUAUGCUGUAAUGGAAUCCUUCAUCUCAAUGUGCCUGAGCAGUCAGAGUGUGUUGGAGGUGUUAUAUAUGCUCCCCCAAACACUAUUUGCCAAAUGUCUGCUCGUCCCCGUCUUGGUGAGCACUGCUGUGGAGGACAAACCUUCAAUCCUCGCACACAUAUUUGCUGUAACGGACACAGUCACAACAAGAUGAAUGGCAAUUACUGUUGUGGUUCAGAAGUCUAUGACCACCACAACCAGUUGUUGAGAUGCUGCUCAGGUCAUCUCUACAACCUAACACGUUUAAGUGGGGAAGCAGAGUGCUGUGGAAACCAUCUGCUGGAAUAUAAUAACAAUCAGAUUUGUUGUUCAUCCUCAACCAAUGCUAUAAUUUAUGACACCAAACCAAACCACCGUUGCUGUGGGCAUUACUACUACAACACAUCCCUGUGGAGCUGCUGUGCUGAACAUCUCAAACCAACACCAAAGCCUGACAGCUCUCCUGCAGAAUACAGGCUUAAACCACUAAUGGACCUGAUCCCUGAAAUGUGCAAUAAAACAGUGUUCUUUGGCAAAGUGGAGAGUGUGGCACUUGAAAAUUAUCAGCGUCACAUUGUUUUGCAAGUUGUUGGACAGGUUGAUGUAAUAUCGGAAAAGAUCAUCAAAGACCCUUGGCUUCAUGUGUCCCUGGAUCACUGCAGCUCUCCUGCCACAGAGAACGGCAUGACCUACCUUUGGGAGGAAAACCAUGAUAGGAAGUACAAGCUUCUCUCUCACCAUGUUGACCUAACCUCUGACAUGCACAUGUUCUAUGCUGUAUGUUACCAAAAGAAGAGAUAGAAAUAUGGAUUGAGGUCUAUUUCCAAUCAUUUCAAACCAAAUUCAAAGCAUGCUGGUUGUUAUGAGAUUUUUGUCCGGAAAGAAUUUUUAUCCACCAUUAAUGCUAAAUGACCCUGUGUGUGAAGGGCCACUAUAUUUGAAAGCUAAGAACCUAUACUCCCUUAAGACAGGCUUCUAAAGUCUCUGUUACUGUAGCAUUACACAGCUUUAUUGCAGAGGCGCCACAUGUUUUGUCUCAUUGGUUAUUUUUAUUUCAUCCCAAUAAUGGAUUGAGCCUGUUUGGAGUGUGCAAAGGGGAUAGUUCAACCAAAAAAUAGAAUUUGCUGUCAGUGUACUCACCCUCAAGCCAUCCAAGAUGUAGGUGACCGUUUUUUAUUUUUUUCUUUGAGUUGAACAGUAAAUAAGAUUUUUAGCUGAAACUUUGGUCUUUGGUUAUUCAUAAAAUGCGAGUCAACGGCUGCCCGUCGUUGAGAAUAAAAAAAAAGAAGAGCAUAUCA